CACGAGAAAGGGGCUUCGGCUCCGAGUAAAGUGGCGGACGGGUGAGUAACACGUGGGUAAUCUGCCUUUCAGUGGGGGAUAACAGUCCGAAAGGAUUGCUAAUACCGCAUACGUCGGCGAGGUCUUCGGGCCUUGUCGGGAAAGCCGGCCUCUCCAUGGAAGCUGGCGCUGGAAGAGGAGCCCGCGGCCCAUCAGCUAGUUGGUAGGGUAAUGGCCUACCAAGGCAAAGACGGGUAGCUGGUCUGAGAGGAUGAUCAGCCACACUGGGACUGAGACACGGCCCAGACUCCUACGGGAGGCAGCAGUGGGGAAUAUUGGGCAAUGGGCGCAAGCCUGACCCAGCCACGCCGCGUGAGUGAUGAAGGCCUUCGGGUCGUAAAGCUCUGUGGGGAGGGACGAAAAAACAUUGGCUAAUAUCCAAUGGACUGACGGUACCUCCUUAGCAAGCACCGGCUAACUCCGUGCCAGCAGCCGCGGUAAUACGGAGGGUGCAAACGUUGCUCGGAAUCAUUGGGCGUAAAGCGCACGUAGGCGGUCGAGUAAGUCGGGUGUGAAAGCCCUCGGCUUAACCGAGGAAGUGCAUUCGAAACUACUUGGCUUGAAUACUGAAGAGGAUCGCGGAAUUCCCGGUGUAGAGGUGAAAUUCGUAGAUAUCGGGAGGAACACCAGUGGCGAAGGCGGCGAUCUGGGCAGAUAUUGACGCUGAUGUGCGAAAGCGUGGGGAGCAAACAGGAUUAGAUACCCUGGUAGUCCACGCCGUAAACGAUGAGUGCUAGUCGUCGCGGGUAUUGACCCCUGCGGCAACGAAGUUAACGCAUUAAGCACUCCGCCUGGGGAGUACGGCCGCA
RNAcentral lists this ribosomal RNA (848 nucleotides) under uncultured bacterium. RNAcentral's name for it is "bacterial SSU rRNA". It matches the Rfam family "Bacterial small subunit ribosomal RNA", at positions 65 to 890 of the family's 1533-position model. The record is from RNAcentral.